Rosa rugosa (rugosa rose) is the source of this 854-nucleotide long non-coding RNA. RefSeq lists it as uncharacterized. Lineage: Eukaryota; Viridiplantae; Streptophyta; Magnoliopsida; Rosales; Rosaceae. The transcript has 2 exons. The record is from RefSeq and is a predicted model, not a curated record.
CGGUGUAAUGUUGUUUUCUGCAAAGCCCGGUCACCACGUCAAGAUUCCUCCUUUUUGCCCGGGCAAUCCACCACCGUUUACCUGGGGACAAUAAAUAUGCCAAGUGGGGCUCCUGCAUAUAUGAUAUAUCUCUAUAUAAACGAGCAAUGUUUUGUAGCAUACUCAAACUCGAAAUCAGAUCUCAGAUCUAAGGAUCCCAGAAGUUGCAGAGUUCAGGAUUGGAUUUUGUCAAGUGAUCCAGAUUCAUAUUUACUGAGAGAUGGGAAAAUCUGCCAUCAAAGGAUCAGGAAAAAUUCAUGAUCCAGGGGGACCUUUGACCCUUUUCAAGUGGAACAUGAUGAUGAUGAUACUGUCAUGUGUGCCUGGUGAUUUAGUGGAUGCUUUGUUCCUUUUACAUCCCUAUCAUCAACGAGGAUAUGAAAACUCUUCUUCCCCUGCUUUAUAUGGCAGGAGUUCUGUGUUUUUUAUUUUAGUUUUUUUUUUUUUUUCUUAAAUCACUCCAUUCAUUCACGAUGUCAGUGAGAUUAUUCACGAUGUCAGUGAGAUUUAACCAGUAAACACCAGUGUUUGUUAAGUCAACUAACAAACAAGAUUAUUGCUCUAUAAAUUCACCAAAUACAACACUGUUUGAUUUUGUAUCAAACUUGUAAACCUUUUUGGCGGGGCUGCCUGGCAAAACUAAGUAUGGAUGAACAAGUGUCGGCAAGCAAUCUGCGAGCAUCUCAGAACCAUGAGCUAAGUGGAGCAGCUUUCUAGGUCUUGUUAAAUAUUUGUAACUAAUGUAACGACCAAUGUCUUGGAGCAGUCAUGACUAAUGAAAUCAGCUUUUAUAUCUGGGUGCAAUAUCUCCAGUA